Molecule: ribosomal RNA, 341 nt
Filed under: Aptinothrips stylifer
Lineage: Eukaryota; Metazoa; Arthropoda; Insecta; Thysanoptera; Thripidae
Description: eukaryotic LSU rRNA
Rfam family: Eukaryotic large subunit ribosomal RNA
Source: RNAcentral
UGACCCGUCUUGAAACAAGGACCAAGGAGUCUUACAUGUGCGCGAGUCAUUGGGCUCUGCGAAACCUAAAGGCGAAAUGAAAGUAAAGGCUAGCUUGCUAGCUGAGGGGUGAUGACCGUUCCUUCACAGGGCGGUCCGCAACCCCGGGGCGUCUCAUUCUCUUUGAGAAGUGGCGCACCCAGAGCGUACACGUUGGGACCCGAAAGAUGGUGAACUAUGCUUGGCCAGGACGAAGUCAGGGGAAACCCUGAUGGAGGUCCGUAGCGAUUCUGACGUGCAAAUCGAUCGUCGGAGCUGAGUAUAGGGGCGAAAGAAUAAUCGAACCAUCUAGUAGCUGGUUC